AGUAGAAUUGCUGGGUCACAUAGUAACACUGUCGAACAUUUUUAGGAAUCAUCAAACUGUUUUCCAAAGUGGCUGUAUCAUUUUACAGUCUCACCAACAAU
RNAcentral lists this microRNA precursor (101 nucleotides) under Marmota monax (woodchuck). Lineage: Eukaryota; Metazoa; Chordata; Mammalia; Rodentia; Sciuridae. The record is from RNAcentral.